This 468-nucleotide ribosomal RNA is filed under the name uncultured bacterium. Its description in RNAcentral is "partial 16S ribosomal RNA". It matches the Rfam family "Bacterial small subunit ribosomal RNA", at positions 28 to 507 of the family's 1533-position model. The record is from RNAcentral.
GACGAACGCUGGCGGCGUGCCUAACACAUGCAAGUCGAACGGACAGGCCCUGCUUUUGUGCGGUGCUCGAGUGGCGAACGGGUGAGUAACACGUGAGUAACCUGUCCUUGACUUUGGGAUAACUUCACGAAACUGGGGCUAUUACCGGAUAGGAUCUCUUGCUGCAUGGUGUGCGUUGGAGAGUUUCGGCGGUUGGGGAUGUACUCGCAGCUUAUCAGCUUGUUGGUGGGGUAGUGGCUUACCAAGGCUUUGACGGGUAGCCGGCCUGAGAGGGUGACCGGCCACAUUAGGACUGAGAUACGGCCCAGACUCCAACGGGAGGCAACGGUGGGGAGUAUUGCACAGUGGGCGGAAGCCUGAUACAACAACGCCGCGUGCGGGAUGACGGGCUUCGGGUUGUAAACCGAUUUCGCCUGUGACGAAGCGUGAGUGACGGUACUGGGUAAAGAAGCACCGGCUAACUACGUG